RNAcentral lists this ribosomal RNA (1100 nucleotides) under Micrococcus luteus. RNAcentral's name for it is "bacterial SSU rRNA". The record is from RNAcentral. Lineage: Bacteria; Bacillati; Actinomycetota; Actinomycetes; Micrococcales; Micrococcaceae.
GUGGGGAAUAUGCACAUGGGCGCAAGCCUGAUGCAGCGACGCCSCKGAGGGAUGACGGCCUUCGGGUGUAAACCUCUUCAGUAGGAAGAAGCGAAAGUGACGGUACCUKCAGAAGAAGCACCGGCUAACUACGUGCCAGCAGCCGCGGUAAUACGUAGGGUGCGAGCGUWUCCGGAAUUAUUGGGCGUAAAGAGCUCGUAGGCGGUUUGUCGCGUCUGUCGUGAAAGUCCGGGGCUUAACCCCGGAUCUGCGGUGGGUACGGGCAGACUAGAGUGCAGUAGGGGAGACUGGAAUUCCUGGUGUAGCGGUGGAAUGCGCAGAUAUCAGGAGGAACACCGAUGGCGAAGGCAGGUCUCUGGGCUGUAACUGACGCUGAGGAGCGAAAGCAUGGGGAGCGAACAGGAUUAGAUACCCUGGUAGUCCAUGCCGUAAACGUUGGGCACUAGGUGUGGGGACCAUUCCACGGUUUCCGCGCCGCAGCUAACGCAUUAAGUGCCCCGCCUGGGGAGUACGGCCGCAAGGCUAAAACUCAAAGGAAUUGACGGGGGCCCGCACAAGCGGCGGAGCAUGCGGAUUAAUUCGAUGCAACGCGAAGAACCUUACCAAGGCUUGACAUGUUCUCGAUCGCCGUAGAGAUACGGUUUCCCCUUUGGGGCGGGUUCACAGGUGGUGCAUGGUUGUCGUCAGCUCGUGUCGUGAGAUGUUGGGUUAAGUCCCGCAACGAGCGCAACCCUCGUUCCAUGUUGCCAGCACGUAAUGGUGGGGACUCAUGGRAGRCUGCCGGGGUCAACUCGGAGGAAGGUGAGGACGACGUCAAAUCAUCAUGCCCCUUAUGUCUUGGGCUUCACGCAUGCUACAAUGGCCGGUACAAUGGGUUGCGAUACUGUGAGGUGGAGCUAAUCCCAAAAAGCCGGUCUCAGUUCGGAUUGGGGUCUGCAACUCGACCCCAUGAAGUCGGAGUCGCUAGUAAUCGCAGAUCAGCAACGCUGCGGUGAAUACGUUCCCGGGCCUUGUACACACCGCCCGUCAAGUCACGAAAGUUGGUAACACCCGAAGCCGGUGGCCUAACCCUUGUGGGGGAGCCCSUCSGAAARGGGGRC